GUUAUUCGAGGUGGUAAAUUUCGUUGCAAUCAUGCACCCUUUGGGUUAAAAGAGAUGCAGGAGAGGCGACGCCUGCCGAAUAAC
Molecule: non-coding RNA, 84 nt
Filed under: Eubacteriaceae bacterium CHKCI004
Lineage: Bacteria; Bacillati; Bacillota; Clostridia; Eubacteriales; Eubacteriaceae
Description: skipping-rope RNA
Rfam family: skipping-rope RNA
About the family: Firmicutes, Fusobacteria, AlphaProteobacteria, Spirochaetes.
Source: Rfam by way of RNAcentral